UGAGCUGCUCAGUUCCUUUUCCCCUCUAGCCGAACUCUGCUAAUAUCACUCUCAGUUGGCUCUCUUUUUCUUUCUUACUGUGUUAAAGCCUUGGGAAGUCAGUUGAGGGGUGGGACAUGAGGUUAAAUAGCUGAACUUUUCUUUCUCUGGUCAUGCCAAGCUCUGCCCCUAGCCGGCCCCUACCAGCCUCCCUACCAAGCUG
This 202-nucleotide long non-coding RNA is filed under the name Panax ginseng (ginseng). RNAcentral's name for it is "long non-coding RNA (PGIN_LNC006860)". Lineage: Eukaryota; Viridiplantae; Streptophyta; Magnoliopsida; Apiales; Araliaceae. The record is from RNAcentral.